GACAGAGGAUGCAAGCGUUAUCCGGAAUGAUUGGGCGUAAAGAGUUGCGUAGGUGGCACUGUAAGUUGUUAGUGAAAGCGUCCGGCUCAACCGGAUACACAUUACCAAAACUGCAGAGCUAGAGGACAAGAGAGGUUAUUGGAAUUCCUAGUGUAGGAGUGAAAUCCGUAGAUAUUAGGAGGAACACCGAUGGCGUAGGCAGAUAACUGGCUUGUUCCUGACACUAAGGCACGAAAGCGUGGGUAGCAAACGGG
Molecule: ribosomal RNA, 254 nt
Filed under: uncultured bacterium
Lineage: Bacteria
Description: partial 16S ribosomal RNA
Rfam family: Bacterial small subunit ribosomal RNA
Source: RNAcentral